UAAUUUUCGACUAGUGACCAACUGCAGACGGAAGAUCCUAGAGAAAAAUUAAAGGAAGAGACCAAAGGGUGAAAGCAUUUAUAAGAGUCGAUGAUAAAAAACAGCUUAUAAAUCCACCAAGAAUACAAGAGAAAGUAUUCAAGGAGCUAAAGAAAAUCUCACUUUAGACCCCUAAGGACCUCGAAUUAAAGAAA
Molecule: non-coding RNA, 194 nt
Submitted as: unclassified sequences
Source: Rfam